CGUGGGAACGUACCCUUCACUACGGAAUAGCUUCUGGAAACGGAAGGUAAUACCGUAUACGCCCUCCGGGGGAAAGAUUUAUCGGUGAAGGAUCGGCCCGCGUUAGAUUAGUUUGUUGGUGGGGUAAUGGCCUACCAAGACUACGAUCUAUAGCUGGUCUGAGAGGAUGAUCAGCCACACUGGGACUGAGACACGGCCCAGACUCCUACGGGAGGCAGCAGUGGGGAAUCUUGCACAAUGGGCGAAAGCCUGAUGCAGCCAUGCCGCGUGAAUGAUGAAGGCCUUAGGGUUGUAAAAUUCUUUCGCCAGGGAUGAUAAUGACAGUACCUGGUAAAGAAGCCCCGGCUAACUUCGUGCCAGCAGCCGCGGUAAUACGAAGGGGGCUAGCGUUGUUCGGAAUUACUGGGCGUAAAGCGCGCGUAGGCGGGCUAUUAAGCCAGAUGUGAAAGCCCGGAGCUCAACUCCGGAAUUGCAUUUGGAACUGGUAGCCUAGAGACCAGGAGAGGUUAGCGGAAUACCGAGUGUAGAGGUGAAAUUCGUAGAUAUUCGGUGGAACACCAGUGGCGAAGGCGGCUAACUGGACUGGUACUGACGCUGAGGCGCGAAAGUGUGGGGAGCAAACAGGAUUAGAUACCCUGGUAGUCCACAC
This 649-nucleotide ribosomal RNA is filed under the name Henriciella barbarensis. RNAcentral's name for it is "bacterial SSU rRNA". It matches the Rfam family "Bacterial small subunit ribosomal RNA", at positions 116 to 800 of the family's 1533-position model. Lineage: Bacteria; Pseudomonadati; Pseudomonadota; Alphaproteobacteria; Hyphomonadales; Hyphomonadaceae. The record is from RNAcentral.